AAUAUCUGGCUGGGGUGCCGCUUCGUUCUUGAGCGGCUGAGAUCAUACCCAUCGAACCUGUUCGGAUCAUGCCGACGAAGGGAGCCCCUUGACGACAUCA
This 100-nucleotide non-coding RNA is filed under the name Skermanella aerolata. Its description in RNAcentral is "TPP sequence". It matches the Rfam family "TPP riboswitch aptamer (THI element)". From Rfam's summary of the family: Vitamin B(1) in its active form thiamin pyrophosphate (TPP) is an essential coenzyme that is synthesised by coupling of pyrimidine and thiazole moieties in bacteria. The previously detected thiamin-regulatory element, thi box was extended, resulting in a new, highly conserved RNA secondary structure, the THI element, which is widely distributed in eubacteria and also occurs in some archaea. The record is from Rfam by way of RNAcentral. Lineage: Bacteria; Pseudomonadati; Pseudomonadota; Alphaproteobacteria; Rhodospirillales; Azospirillaceae.